Molecule: ribosomal RNA, 469 nt
Filed under: uncultured bacterium
Lineage: Bacteria
Description: partial 16S ribosomal RNA
Rfam family: Bacterial small subunit ribosomal RNA
Source: RNAcentral
GACGAACGCUGGCGGCAUGCUUAACACAUGCAAGUCGAACGAUGAGGCGCCAGCUUGCUGGUGUGGGUUAGUGUCGAACGGAUGAGUCUCACGUGGGUAACCUGCCCCUCACUCUGGGCUACGCCUAGGAACCUGGGGCUAAUACUGGAUACGACCGAACCCGGCAUGGGGGGGGGGUGGGAAUGUUUAGUGGUGUGGGAUGGAAUCGUGGCCUAUCAGCUGGUUGGUGGGGUAGUGGCCUACCAAGGCGACGACGGGUAGCCGGCCGGAGAAGGCGACCGGCCACAAUGGGACUGAGACAAGGCCCAGAAGCCUACGGGAGGCAGCAGUGGGGAAUAUUGUACAAUGGGCGGAAGACGGAUGAAGCGACGACGCGGGAGGGAGGACGGCCUUCGGGGUGUAAACCUCUUUUACCAGGGAAGAAGAUAAAGUGACGGUACCUGGAGAAGAAGCACCGGCUAACUACGUG